GAUCGGCCCGCGUCUGAUUAGCUUGUUGGUGGGGUAACGGCCUACCAAGGCGACGAUCAGUAGCUGGUCUGAGAGGAUGAUCAGCCACACUGGGACUGAGGCACGGCCCAGACUCCUACGGGAGGCAGCAGUGGGGAAUAUUGGACAAUGGGCGCAAGCCUGAUCCAGCCAUGCCGCGUGAGUGAUGAAGGCCUUAGGGUUGUAAAGCUCUUUUGUCCGGGACGAUAAUGACGGUACCGGAAGAAUAAGCCCCGGCUAACUUCGUGCCAGCAGCCGCGGUAAUACGAAGGGGGCUAGCGUUGCUCGGAAUCACUGGGCGUAAAGGGCGCGUAGGCGGCCGAUUAAGUCGGGGGUGAAAGCCUGUGGCUCAACCACAGAAUUGCCUUCGAUACUGGUUGGCUUGAGACCGGAAGAGGACAGCGGAACUGCGAGUGUAGAGGUGAAAUUCGUAGAUAUUCGCAAGAACACCAGUGGCGAAGGCGGCUGUCUGGUCCGGUUCUGACGCUGAGGCGCGAAAGCGUGGGGAGCAAACAGGAUUAGAUACCCUGGUAGUCCACGCC
Molecule: ribosomal RNA, 560 nt
Filed under: uncultured bacterium
Lineage: Bacteria
Description: bacterial SSU rRNA
Rfam family: Bacterial small subunit ribosomal RNA
Source: RNAcentral